UCAAGAAACUCUGGUUUGGGGCCAGCUCCGUGGCCGAGUGAUUAAGUUCGCGCGCUCCUCUGCAGUGGCCCAGGGUUCGGAUCCUGGGUGCAGACAUGGCACCGCUCGUCAGGCCAUGUUGAGGUGGCGUCCCACAUCCCACAACUAGAAGAACCUACAACUAAGAUAUACAACUGUGUAUGGGGGUGGGGUUUUGGGCAGAUAAAGCAGAAAAAAAAAGAUUGGCAACAGUUGUUAGCCCAGGUGCCAAUCCUUAAAAAAAAAAGGAAGAUUGGCAACAGUUGUUAGCCCAGGUGCCAAUCUUUAAAAAAAAAAAAAAGAAACUGGUUAAAUGAAUGAAUGAAUGAAUCAACCAUGCAGAGGGUAAAGGCCAACAGGCAGCUUCUGAUGAUGUUGGAUACUCUGCUCAUUUCCCCACCAGUGUAAAACCUUGAAUUAAUGGAGGAGGUGGUUGGGGUGGGGGCAGGAUUAGCUUGUAAAUAGGAUGCAAUAAAUACAGGGGAGGUAUAAUAGCCUGUAUUUAUUGGGCAUCAACUAUAUGCCAAGGAUUCUUCAUGUUUAUCUCUACUCCUUAUGAAUACCCUGCAAGGUAGGUGUCUUUAUCCCCAUUUUACAGAAGAAUGAGUUGCCCAGUGAUGGCUUUAUGCUACCAUCAGUUGAAGAUCCAAGAUGGAAACCUAAAGUCCACAUUUUUCCUGCUAUGCCAAGCUACCCUUAAACAGGUAGUGUAUUCUCUCUGAGCAGGCCUGUGUUGCCUGAGUUUUAAUCCAAGACGUUGCAAUAAUCUCUCAUCUUCAGGUGGACUCCUGACUUGGCUGAUGCUCCUUUUGGUUUAGCUUUGUUGUUAAAUUAGUCUGUUCCUGCACAGUACCACUUAUAUAAGGAUUUCACAGCACAUUACGAUCAAGUGCCUUGAACAUACAGUGGCAAUGAAGUUGUUUCUCCCAGUUGAAGAUGAAAAGACUGCAGCAGAAGGAAGUUAUGUGACUCGUUAGAGAAUGUAAAGGAGUGAGUCAUUGAUGGAGCGUGUAUGGAAAUGAGGCGUUUAGGAGACUGUUAGGGGAACUGAUAUGGAUCCGGGACAUACAAUAGUAGGCAUCUAUUGCUGUAGUUGUGAAAUUGUUUAAUGCUUUUUGCUUCUUCAACUUCAAUGCUUAUAACUGUAUGUCCCAGAAUGCAACAAAGCAAUGCCAAGAGACUGUAGACCACAUGGAACACAGAUGUCAAUCACAGGUCAUUCUGCCUACUAGAGAUGAGUUUGUCUUUUUGUGAGGCUACUGGAUCCUAUUUGUGACCCAUGUUUCUACUAACACUUUUGCGGACCCUCUAUUUACAAGAGUCUCUACAUGGUCAAGGGUGUGAGGAGGAGCGAGCAGUCAGAAAGGUGCAGAGGUCCUUCCUGGACCUUUCCUUUUACGUUUAUUAGAUGAUAUCUUUCAUUUGCCACAUCCUUCCAGCAGAUGGGUGGAUUACAUCCUCCAGGUGAAAGAUGAGAGCAGAAGAGCUAAUUUGGCUGACUGCUACUUCCUAUGGGACCUCAGGUCCUUGUAAGGGGCCCAGCUGCCCCAGUGGUCUAUGGUCUCUGGAAAAUGGAAAUAGAAAAACAUCCUGCCCCUACUUUUAACAAACUGUGGAGUUCCUGGCUUAUUUUCUAAAUCAACAUGUUGGUGAAUGUACUGAUGGAGCUUGGGAGGUGGUGUAGUUUUGAGUGAUGAAGUGUGGAAGUGUUUUGAGCCAUGGUCACCUGUUAGGCUAGAAUUCCCCAUGGAGGCCCUCCUCUUUGUGACUUGUAUACCUUUAUUCUUCCCCCUCCAAACCCCAAAUAGACACAGUAAUAGAGAAACACCACUAGGCAGACUAAUAUCUGAUAAGUGCUACCCUUAUUAUCCCAAAUGACUUGAGAAAAGAAAUUGAAGACAUAGUGACUUUUCCAUGAAUAUACUAAGAAGGAUGAGGGAAGAGGCAGAGUUUGGUCCUUUUCUGGUCAUAGGGAAGGAGAGAGAUGGUAUGUCUGAAAUAAUCCAUUUUGCUUUUUCCAUUUACUGCCUUAAAAAAUAAAAGUAAAAUAUGAACCCACAGAUGAGGAAGAGCUCGAGAAAAAUAAAUGAAAUGCUGAGGAAUUGGCAUACCCCUCCCGAAGAAGGUGAAUUGCACAAAGGAUCACUCAAUCCUUCCAACCGAGGAGAGAAACUGUGAUUGGAAAGCUCCCUUCCCAAAGAGAUAAAAGAGAAGACAGACACACAGAGCGAGAAGGUGUUGUGAAGAACGGGGCAGAGAUUGGAGCGAUGCAGCCACAGGGCAAGGAAUGCCUGAAGCCACCAGCAGCUGGAAGAAGGAUUCUCUCCUAGAGAUUUCAGAGGGAGCAUGCUCUGCAAACACUUUGAUUUUGGACUUCUGGCCUCCAGAACUGUGCUGCAUUUGGAGAACGUGUUCAGGAGAAGCAACCAG
RNAcentral lists this long non-coding RNA (2448 nucleotides) under Equus caballus (horse). RNAcentral's name for it is "lncRNA (ENSECAG00000034148.2)". The record is from RNAcentral. Lineage: Eukaryota; Metazoa; Chordata; Mammalia; Perissodactyla; Equidae.